This is a non-coding RNA of Conoideocrella luteorostrata, 99 nucleotides long. Lineage: Eukaryota; Fungi; Ascomycota; Sordariomycetes; Hypocreales; Clavicipitaceae. The record is from the annotation of a GenBank genome assembly.
GGCCGUGUGGCUCAAUGGCAGAGCGUCUGACUACGAUAAACAGGUUACAAUGUUUAGUUGGUGAUCAGAAGGUCGCAGGUUCGACCCCUGUCUCGGUCA